This 815-nucleotide ribosomal RNA is filed under the name Bacillus sp. YC6907. RNAcentral's name for it is "bacterial SSU rRNA". It matches the Rfam family "Bacterial small subunit ribosomal RNA", at positions 56 to 851 of the family's 1533-position model. Lineage: Bacteria; Bacillati; Bacillota; Bacilli; Caryophanales; Bacillaceae. The record is from RNAcentral.
UGCAGUCGAGCGGAUCUUCAUUAGCUUGCUUUUGAAGAUCAGCGGCGGACGGGUGAGUAACACGUGGGCAACCUGCCUGUAAGACUGGGAUAACUUCGGGAAACCGGAGCUAAUACCGGAUAAUCCUUUCCCUCACAUGAGGGAAAGCUGAAAGACGGUUUCGGCUGUCACUUACAGAUGGGCCCGCGGCGCAUUAGCUAGUUGGUGAGGUAACGGCUCACCAAGGCAACGAUGCGUAGCCGACCUGAGAGGGUGAUCGGCCACACUGGGACUGAGACACGGCCCAGACUCCUACGGGAGGCAGCAGUAGGGAAUCUUCCGCAAUGGACGAAAGUCUGACGGAGCAACGCCGCGUGAACGAUGAAGGCUUUCGGGUCGUAAAGUUCUGUUGUCAGGGAAGAACAAGUACCGGAGUAACUGCCGGUACCUUGACGGUACCUGACCAGAAAGCCACGGCUAACUACGUGCCAGCAGCCGCGGUAAUACGUAGGUGGCAAGCGUUGUCCGGAAUUAUUGGGCGUAAAGCGCGCGCAGGCGGUUCCUUAAGUCUGAUGUGAAAGCCCCCGGCUCAACCGGGGAGGGUCAUUGGAAACUGGGGAACUUGAGUGCAGAAGAGGAGAGCGGAAUUCCACGUGUAGCGGUGAAAUGCGUAGAGAUGUGGAGGAACACCAGUGGCGAAGGCGGCUCUCUGGUCUGUAACUGACGCUGAGGCGCGAAAGCGUGGGGAGCGAACAGGAUUAGAUACCCCUGGUAGUCCACGCCGUAAAACGAUGAGUGCUAAGUGUUAGAGGGUUUCCGCCCCUUUAGUGCUGCAG